This 169-nucleotide unclassified non-coding RNA is filed under the name fungal sp. RNAcentral describes it as "partial internal transcribed spacer region". The stretch from base 1 to 46 matches the Rfam family "Eukaryotic small subunit ribosomal RNA", at positions 1786 to 1831 of the family's 1831-position model. The record is from RNAcentral. Lineage: Eukaryota; Fungi.
AAGUCGUAACAAGGUUUCCGUAGGUGAACCUGCGGAAGGAUCAUUAAAAGGAAAGAAAGAUAGUAUAUAUAUAAAACAGGGAGAAAGAUAGAAUGGUGAUAGUGUUUCAUUAUCACACAAAAUAUAAAAACACAAAACACAACUGCUACCAAUGGAUCACUUGGUUCUC